CUGCCGCGUGCAGGAUGACGGUCCUAUGGAUUGUAAACUGCUUUUGUACAGGAAGAAACCCUUUCACGUGUGGAAGAUUGACGGUACUGUAAGAAUAAGGAUCGGCUAACUCCGUGCCAGCAGCCGCGGUAAUACGGAGGAUCCAAGCGUUAUCCGGAAUCAUUGGGUUUAAAGGGUCCGUAGGCGGUCAGGUAAGUCAGUGGUGAAAGCCCAUCGCUCAACGGUGGAACGGCCAUUGAUACUGUCUGACUUGAAUUAUUAGGAAGUAACUAGAAUAUGUAGUGUAGCGGUGAAAUGCUUAGAGAUUACAUGGAAUACCAAUUGCGAAGGCAGGUUACUACUAAUGGAUUGACGCUGAUGGACGAAAGCGUGGGUAGCGAACAGGAUUAGAUACCCUGGUAGUCCACGCCGUAAACGAUGGAUACUAGCUGUUGGGAGCAAUCUCAGUGGCUAAGCGAAAGUGAUAAGUAUCCCACCUGGGGAGUACGUUCGCAAGAAUG
Molecule: ribosomal RNA, 500 nt
Filed under: uncultured Bacteroidota bacterium
Lineage: Bacteria; Pseudomonadati; Bacteroidota
Description: bacterial SSU rRNA
Rfam family: Bacterial small subunit ribosomal RNA
Source: RNAcentral